UACGUACUGUGCGAACGUUAUUCGGAAUCACUGGGCUUAAAGGGUGCGUAGGCGGUUUUUCAAGUCAGGUGUGAAAUCUUCAGGCUCAACCUGGAAAUGGCGCUUGAAACUGAGAGACUUGAGGCAGCUAGGGGUGUGUGGAACUUCCAGUGGAGCGGUGAAAUGUGUUGAUAUUGGAAGGAACGCCGGUGGCGAAAGCGACACACUGGGGCUGAACUGACGCUGAGGCACGAAAGCCAGGGGAGCAAACGGG
RNAcentral lists this ribosomal RNA (253 nucleotides) under uncultured bacterium. RNAcentral describes it as "partial 16S ribosomal RNA". It matches the Rfam family "Bacterial small subunit ribosomal RNA", at positions 524 to 776 of the family's 1533-position model. The record is from RNAcentral.